RNAcentral lists this ribosomal RNA (398 nucleotides) under uncultured beta proteobacterium. Its description in RNAcentral is "bacterial SSU rRNA". It matches the Rfam family "Bacterial small subunit ribosomal RNA", at positions 9 to 416 of the family's 1533-position model. The record is from RNAcentral. Lineage: Bacteria; Pseudomonadati; Pseudomonadota; Betaproteobacteria.
GAGUUUGAUCAUGGCUCAGAACGAACGCUGGCGGCAUGCCUUACACAUGCAAGUCGAACGGUAACAGGUUAAGCUGACGAGUGGCGAACGGGUGAGUAAUGUAUCGGAACGUGCCCAGUCGUGGGGGAUAACUGCUCGAAAGAGCAGCUAAUACCGCAUACGACCUGAGGGUGAAAGCGGGGGAUCGCAAGACCUCGCGCGAUUGGAGCGGCCGAUAUCAGAUUAGGUAGUUGGUGGGGUAAAGGCCUACCAAGCCGACGAUCUGUAGCUGGUCUGAGAGGACGACCAGCCACACUGGGACUGAGACACGGCCCAGACUCCUACGGGAGGCAGCAGUGGGGAAUUUUGGACAAUGGACGCAAGUCUGAUCCAGCCAUGCCGCGUGCGGGAAGAAGGCC